UACGUAGGGGGCGAGCGUUGUCCGGAUUUAUUGGGCGUAAAGAGCGUGUAGGCGGUUCGGUAAGUCUGUCGUGAAAUCCUGAGGCUCAACCUCGGGCGUGCGAUGGAUACUGCCGGGCUAGAGGGUGGUAGAGGCGAGUGGAAUUCCCGGUGUAGCGGUGAAAUGCGCAGAUAUCGGGAGGAACACCAAUUGCGAAGGCAGCUCGCUGGAACGUAACUGACGCUGAGACGCGAAAGCGUGGGGAGCAAACAGG
This 253-nucleotide ribosomal RNA is filed under the name uncultured bacterium. Its description in RNAcentral is "partial 16S ribosomal RNA". It matches the Rfam family "Bacterial small subunit ribosomal RNA", at positions 524 to 776 of the family's 1533-position model. The record is from RNAcentral.